This is a long non-coding RNA of Sapajus apella (tufted capuchin), 1086 nucleotides long. RefSeq lists it as uncharacterized. The record is from RefSeq and is a predicted model, not a curated record. The transcript has 3 exons. NCBI's taxonomy places the organism in Eukaryota, Metazoa, Chordata, Mammalia, Primates, Cebidae.
CCACACCCAUUCUGGAAUGCAUCAUAUCACCAUCACCCAGCAUGUACAGAAUGCCUGAUGUAUAAGCACUGUGUGAGGCUCUGGUCCCUUCCACAUGGCUUGGAAAAGAGGACACACAUCCAACAUCACAAGUCAGCUAUCGGCUCCCGUAGCAAAUGCUACACAUGGUACUGGCAAUGAGCGCAGAGGAGGAAGAGAAAGGACUUUGAAAUUUCUGCUUUAAUAGGUCCUUUGCAAGCAGAGGCUCCCUGAGGUUGGCAGCUGGGUCAUAAGGACUCUGGAUCCCGAGCAUAUCCUGGAACAUGACAGGAAGAAGGGCUACAAGUUCACACACCUACUCUGAAUUUAAAGCUCCAAGGAGAUUAUCUUUCAACUCCCAUGCUCAACCUCUCCGUGCUCAGAUUCAAGAAUGUAACUCAGCAUCUCUUUAAAAGGUGUUUAAAGGAUUGUCACUGAGAUGCUCGACUAGAAAUUUUUUGUUCAAGUAGAUAUGUGAAAUGAUAUUCUCCUGAAAUCUCACAAAGUAUGUAUGUGUGUAUAUAUGUAUGAUACCAAAGGUGUUGAGAAAUCAUGCAAGAAAGAAAUCUAUUGAACUCAUUCUGAUUAGCAUUUCCCAAAAGUGCAUUUAAUGGAAUCCUUUUUUACAUAAUUACCAUAAACAUCCAGAGACCUUUCUUUUAAACACACUUUUAGGAACAAUGGUUUUGAUAAAUUCAUGUCUAACAAAUUAUAAUAGAAAAUAGGUUAACAAUAUUAAUAACUAAUAAUAGAUAUUAUUAUAGAACAGGGCACAAGAAAUUAUCCUUUAAACGAGAUCUCUGAAUCAUUCUUCUGCAGCCUGCACUGAAUUUGCACAUUGCCUGGCGUCAAACUUGGAAAAAAUUAUUUAGGCAACUAAGACAUUUUUAUUUUCAGAUCUCAGAAUAAGUCUGCCAUAGACACAAAGAUUCCAAGAAGUGGCUCAUAAUGUCAUCCGGCAGAAGGGACACUUGGGGAAAAAGGUGGGGAAGGAGUAUUAUGUUUUGUUGCAAAGUUGAUUUGUAUGCAGUAUAUUAUUCCUCAAAUCUACCUUCAAAAAUGGUAGAA